CUCGUAAGAGGAUGUAUAGGGUGUGACGCCUGCCCGGUGCUCGAAGGUUAAUUGAUGGGGUUAGCAUUAGCGAAGCUCUUGAUCGAAGCCCGAGUAAACGGCGGCCGUAACUAUAACGGUCCUAAGGUAGCGAAAUUCCUUGUCGGUUAAAUACCGACCUGCAUGAAUGGCGUAACGAGAUGGGAGCUGUCUCAAAGAGGGAUCCAGUGAAAUUGUAGUGGAGGUGAAAAUUCCUCCUACCCGCGGCAAGACGGAAAGACCCCGUGGACCUUUACUACAGCUUGACACUGCUACUUGGAUAAGAAUGUGCAGGAUAGGUGGGAGGCUUUGAGUAUAUGACGCCAGUUGUAUAUGAGCCAUUGUUGAGAUACCACUCUUUCUUAUUUGGGUAGCUAACCAGCUUGAGUUAUCCUCAAGUGGGACAAUGUCUGGUGGGUAGUUUGACUGGGGCGGUCGCCUCCCAAAUAAUAACGGAGGCUUACAAAGGUUGGCUCAGAACGGUUGGAAAUCGUUCGUAGAGUAUAAAGGUAUAAGCCAGCUUAACUGCAAGACAUACAAGUCAAGCAGAGACGAAAGUCGGUCUUAGUGAUCCGGUGGUUCUGUGUGGAAGGGCCAUCGCUCAAAGGAUAAAAGGUACCCCGGGGAUAACAGGCUGAUCUCCCCCAAGAGCUCACAUCGACGGGGAGGUUUGGCACCUCGAUGUCGGCUCAUCGCAUCCUGGGGCUGGAGCAGGUCCCAAGGGUAUGGCUGUUCGCCAUUUAAAGCGGUACGCGAGCUGGGUUCAGAACGUCGUGAGACAGUUCGGUCCCUAUCUGCCGUGGGCGUAAGAAGAUUGAAGAGAUUUGACCCUAGUACGAGAGGACCGGGUUGAACAAACCACUGGUGUAGCUGUUGUUCUGCCAAGAGCAUCGCAGCGUAGCUAAGUUUGGAAAGGAUAAACGCUGAAAGCAUCUAAGCGUGAAGCCAACUCUAAGAUGAAUCUUCUCUAAGCUCUCUAGAAGACUACUAGUUUGAUAGGCUGGGUGUGUAAUGGAUGAAAGUCCUUUAGCUGACCAGUACUAAUAGAGCGUUUGGCUUAUCUUUAAUAAAGCAU
Molecule: ribosomal RNA, 1093 nt
Filed under: Campylobacter jejuni
Lineage: Bacteria; Pseudomonadati; Campylobacterota; Epsilonproteobacteria; Campylobacterales; Campylobacteraceae
Description: partial 23S ribosomal RNA
Rfam family: Bacterial large subunit ribosomal RNA
Source: RNAcentral